This 422-nucleotide ribosomal RNA is filed under the name Streptococcus constellatus. Its description in RNAcentral is "bacterial SSU rRNA". It matches the Rfam family "Bacterial small subunit ribosomal RNA", at positions 40 to 436 of the family's 1533-position model. Lineage: Bacteria; Bacillati; Bacillota; Bacilli; Lactobacillales; Streptococcaceae. The record is from RNAcentral.
CGGCGUGCCUAAUACAUGCAAGUAGAACGCACAGGAUGCACCGUAGUUUACUACACCGUAUUCUUUGAGUUGCGAACGGGUGAGUAACGCGUAGGUAACCUGCCUGGUAGCGGGGGAUAACUAUUGGAAACGAUAGCUAAUACCGCAUAAGAACAUUUACUGCAUGGUAGAUGUUUAAAAGGUGCAAAUGCAUCACUACCAGAUGGACCUGCGUUGUAUUAGCUAGUUGGUGAGGUAACGGCUCACCAAGGCAACGAUACAUAGCCGACCUGAGAGGGUGAUCGGCCACACUGGGACUGAGACACGGCCCAGACUCCUACGGGAGGCAGCAGUAGGGAAUCUUCGGCAAUGGGGGGAAACCCCUGACCGAGCAAACGCCGCGUGAGUGAAAGAAAGGUUUUUCGGAUUCGUAAAAGCUUCUG